RNAcentral lists this ribosomal RNA (906 nucleotides) under Fasciola hepatica (liver fluke). RNAcentral describes it as "SSU rRNA". It matches the Rfam family "Eukaryotic small subunit ribosomal RNA", at positions 25 to 824 of the family's 1831-position model. Lineage: Eukaryota; Metazoa; Platyhelminthes; Trematoda; Plagiorchiida; Fasciolidae. The record is from RNAcentral.
CAUAUGCUUGUCUCAGAGAUUAAGCCAUGCAUGUCUAAGUACAUACCUUUAAACGGUGAAACCGCGAAUGGCUCAUUAAAUCAGCUAUGGUUCCUUGGAUCGUACAUACUACAUGGAUAACUGUAGUAAUUCUAGAGCUAAUACAUGCCACUAUGCCCUGACCCGCGAGGGAACGGGUGGAUUUAUUAGAACAGAACCAACCGGGGGCGGCUUCGGUCGUCCCUGUUGCAUUCUGUGAUGACUCUGGAUAACUUCACUGAUCGCAGUCGGCCUUGUGUCGGCGACGGAUCUUUCAAAUGUCUGCCCUAUCAAUUUUCGAUGGUAGGUGACCUGCCUACCAUGGUGCUAACGGGUAACGGGGAAUCAGGGUUCGAUUCCGGAGAGGGAGCCUGAGAAACGGCUACCACUUCCAAGGAAGGCAGCAGGCACGCAAAUUACCCAAUCCCGGCACGGGGAGGUAGUGACGAAAAAUACGGAUACGGGACUCACUAGAGGCUCCGUAAUUCGAAUGAGUACAAUUUAAAUCCUUUAACGAGGAUCAACUGGAGGGCAAGUCUGGUGCCAGCAGCCGCGGUAACUCCAGCUCCAGAAGCGUAUAUUAAAGUUGUUGCAGUUCAAAAGCUCGUAGUUGGAUCUGGGUCGCAUGGCUACAUGCCGUCGCUCGUGGGUCUGGCCUGGUUACUGCCGGGUUGAGCUUGCGAGUCGGUCUCGUGGUUGUGCUUCCUUUCUGCUGUGUCUGUUUACAGGUGUCAGCGUGACUGGUGGGCUUGCCUGCUAGUCUUGUUGGCAUGCUUCUUGGUGCCUUUAAUCGGGUGUCGGAGGCGGACAGCACGUUUACUUUGAACAAAUUUGAGUGCUCAAAGCAGGCCUUUGUGCCUGAAAAUUCUUGCAUGGAAUAAUGGAAUA